RNAcentral lists this ribosomal RNA (534 nucleotides) under Eoargiolestes ochraceus. RNAcentral's name for it is "partial 16S ribosomal RNA". It matches the Rfam family "Bacterial large subunit ribosomal RNA", at positions 1831 to 2619 of the family's 2925-position model. The record is from RNAcentral. Lineage: Eukaryota; Metazoa; Arthropoda; Insecta; Odonata; Argiolestidae.
GUCUUCUUGUUUUUAUUAGAAGUCUGGCCUGCCCGGUGAAUAUUUUUAACGGCCGCGGUAUUUUGACCGUGCAAAGGUAGCAUAAUCAUUAGUCUUUUAAUAGAAGGCUGGAAUGAAGGGUUUGACGAAGUAGUAGCUGUCUCAUAUUAAAUAAUUUAGAAUUUAAUUUUUGGGUCAAAAAGCCUAAAUAAUAUUGGAAGACGAGAAGACCCUAUAGAGCUUUAUAGUUAAUUAUUUUAUAUAUUUAUUGGUUUAUUCUUUUUAUUUAUAAUAUUAAUUAUUUUGUUGGGGUGACAAAAUUAUAUGUUUAACUUUUAUAAUUUAUUUAACAUUAAUAUAUGAUUUAUUAGAUCCAUUUUUAUUGAUUAUUAGAAUAAGUUACCUUAGGGAUAACAGCGUAAUCUCUCUUUGGAGUUCAAAUUUGCAGAGAGGCUUGCGACCUCGAUGUUGGAUUAAGAUAAUAAUUAGGUGCAGUAGCUUAAUUCAUAGGUCUGUUCGACCUUUAAAUUCUUACAUGAUCUGAGUUCAGACCGG